CGGGCUAAACGGGGGGCGGGGCCCGCGGGUCGAUGCCCCACCCCCCGUCAGAGCCUGACCGCCGGGGGAAAAGCCUCUGGGCGGAGGAGGUGCUUUCAAAACAAAGAAAUGCGGCGUGGAACCCGGGGGACUGGGGUGGUGAGGAAGGCGGAGGAGGUGCGGCUGAGGCCGUCCGGCCGCCCGCUUCCCCUCCAGUCAGCCCGGAGGAGCUCCCCCCACCCCCAGCCCGGGCUGCGGUGCCGGAGAAGAGGGAGGAGGCUGCGUUAGGCGGCUGUUUUCCAGUUCACUUUUGCAGACCAAGGCGGAGAAGAAGAGCACCAGCUCCGCUGCCCCUCUUGGCUGCGGCGCACUCAGCCCCGAGUCCCGCGUGCGCUCUGUCUCGGAUACCGAGCCGGCCAAAGUGUCCGGAAACGCGCAGAGCGCUCGGAACCUGUCCCGCAGCUGUGCGACGCGCGUCUCGAGCCGGCCGCUGCCGCCCCGCCCUCGCGCUCCUUCAGCCCCACGGGCGGAGAAGCCGGCCCGCCCGCCGGCGCCGAGCUGGGGAACUUGAACUAGCCCCAGCGGCCGCUCUGCCGAGAUCCCGCUCCAGGCCCGGGGGUGCUCCGGCUCGGGGUGGAGGGCACACCGGGGAAGUGGAUUUAGCAAACACACCUUUGAACAGAUCCAGGAGACCAGAAAAACUUACCACCCACAUCUACUCUUCAUAAUCAAGUCAUUGGAUGAAGACAGGCAGGCUCGAGAGAAGAGACAGAAGCCUACAGCACUGCCACCAACUGCCCAGGAUGCAGGGAUUUCAACAGGAAACGGGACCUUUAUGAAUGAAGCACAUUAUUUAUCCCAGUGUGGAGUAAGAAGAGAGAAAAUGAGCUGCAGUUGCUGGAGAAGGGGACUGAGGUUCACCUUAGGAAGAACAUCCUGUCAAUAACAUCGAAGCUCUGGAGAAUCUCAUGAAAGGAGCUUCAGGGUUUUGGUCAACAUUCAUUCUACCAACAUUUACUGAGGACAUUCUGGGCAUUUCUUGGUUUGUGUCUAAUUCAGUCACAGAGCUAAAUCGGGAAGAUUUCACUCAAAUGCUUCUCUGGAGGGUUUCCCUAACUUGAAGUAUUGCUAUCUCUUUUUUUCCCAACUUUUCUUCUUAUUCUCUGCCACCUAUGAAGGUUCACAGGGCCCAGUCCUGGACCCUGCAAAAAAAAAAAAAAGCUUUAAAAAUCAAGAAUUAUUCUUGGGGCUUCCCUGGUGGCGCAGUGGUUGAGAGUCUGCCUGCCAAUGCAGGGGACACGGGUUCGAGCGCUGGUCUGGGAAGAUCCCACAUGCCGUAGAGCAACUGGGCCCGUGAGCCACAACUACUGAGCCUGCGCGUCUGGAGCCUGUGCUCCGCAACAAGAGAGGCCGCGACAGUGAGAGGCCCGCGCACCGCGAUGAAGAGUGGCCCCUGCUCGCCACAACUGGAGAAAGCCCUCGCACAGAAAUGAAGACCCAACACAGCCAAAAAUAAAUAAAUAAAUUAAUUAAUUAAUUAUUAAAAAAAUCAAGAAUUAUUCUAAAAGAAAAUCUGACCCACUGCACCAGUCAAGAUGUCAGCCUCUUGAUCAAACAGCCACUCAUAAGGCAAUGGCAUGCUGAGAAAAGCAGACGGUAAUGGUAGCCAGUUCAGAGCUGUGAGGACUUGCUGUGAACUGGUUUAUAUUACCUACCUCCUUUUACUCAACAGAAACUUUCUUCUCUACAGAAAAUGGCAAUACCACUACCAUUCUAGGGUUCCUUGUAUUAGGCCUCACCUAACAACUGCUUGGCUUUCUAUCCAGAAUAGUUAAAACAGCCAGUGCCCCAGGGAAUGUCAUAAAAUUUCACUGUAUUCAAUGACGCCCUAUUCAGUGAAUCGCAGAGAACCUAGUCUUCUUCUGCACACCUGGCUAUGAAUCACUGACUCAGUGACCUCCAUUUGGGAUCUGCUUUCCUGAGGUAGUUAAUUUAGCCUUCAUGAGAUGGAGGUACUGAACCUUUCUUAGGGAGGCAUGCCUAAUUUCACAUAACUGUGAAGUUACUUCGGUUGUUUACAUGGCAAUCUUGUGUGAUCUAAGCAACUCUAUUGCUGUCAUUUUAAGACCGUUUGAAACAUCUUAAUAGUCCCAUUUUUUUCUUUUCCUCUUGCUCAUUUCCAAAUGGAAGGAAUUCUUAUGAGGUAAUAGGGUGGUGGGGAGAAACACAGUUUGCUUUAGCUCCUACUAAUU
RNA transcript from Balaenoptera ricei (Rice's whale), 2231 nucleotides. RefSeq lists it as uncharacterized. NCBI's taxonomy places the organism in Eukaryota, Metazoa, Chordata, Mammalia, Artiodactyla, Balaenopteridae. The transcript has 4 exons. The record is from RefSeq and is a predicted model, not a curated record.